CAAAAAAUAGUUUAAUAUAGAAUAUUAACAUUGGAAGUUAAUGGUUAAAGGUUUUUAUUUUUUGA
RNAcentral lists this transfer RNA (65 nucleotides) under Ascarosepion apama (giant Australian cuttlefish). RNAcentral's name for it is "tRNA-Pro". Lineage: Eukaryota; Metazoa; Mollusca; Cephalopoda; Sepiida; Sepiidae. The record is from RNAcentral.